Molecule: ribosomal RNA, 484 nt
Filed under: uncultured bacterium
Lineage: Bacteria
Description: partial 16S ribosomal RNA
Rfam family: Bacterial small subunit ribosomal RNA
Source: RNAcentral
AUUGAACGCUGGCGGCAUGCUUUACACAUGCAAGUCGAACGGCAGCGCGGGCUUCGGCCUGGCGGCGAGUGGCGAACGGGUGAGUAAUACAUCGGAACGUGCCCAGUAGUGGGGGAUAGCUCGGCGAAAUCCGGAUUAAUACCGCAUACGACCUGAGGGUGAAAGCGGGGGAUCUUCGGACCUCGCGCUAUUGGAGCGGCCGAUGGCAGAUUAGCUAGUUGGUGGGGUAAAGGCCUACCAAGGCGACGAUCUGUAGCUGGUCUGAGAGGACGGCCAGCCACACUGGGACGGAGACACGGCCCAGACUACUACGGGAGGCAGCAGUGGGGAAUUUUGGACAAUGGGCGGAAGCCUGAUCCAGCAAUGCCGCGUGUGUGAUGAAGGCCUUCGGGUUGUAAAGCACUUUUGGCGGGAACGAAAAGGACUGUGCCAAUACCACGGUUCGAUGACGGUACCCGCAGAAUAAGCACCGGCUAACUACGUG